Molecule: ribosomal RNA, 696 nt
Filed under: uncultured bacterium
Lineage: Bacteria
Description: bacterial SSU rRNA
Rfam family: Bacterial small subunit ribosomal RNA
Source: RNAcentral
CCUGGGAACUGCGUUNUGAACUGGGUGGCUAGAGUGUNUCAGAGGGAGGUAGAAUUCCACGUGUAGCAGUGAAAUGCGUAGAGAUGUGGAGGAAUACCGAUGGCGAAGGCAGCCUCNUGGGAUAACACUGACGUUCAUGCCCGAAAGCGUGGGUAGCAAACAGGAUUAGAUACCCUGGUAGUCCACGCCCUAAACGAUGUCGAUUAGCUGUUGGGCAGCAUGACUGCUUAGUAGCGAAGCUAACGCGUGAAAUCGACCGCCUGGGGAGUACGGUCGCAAGAUUAAAACUCAAAGGAAUUGACGGGGACCCGCACAAGCGGUGGAUGAUGUGGAUUAAUUCGAUGCAACGCGAAGAACCUUACCUGGUCUUGACAUGUACGGAACCCUCCAGAGACGGAGGAGUGCCUUCGGGAGCCGUAACACAGGUGCUGCAUGGCUGUCGUCAGCUCGUGUCGUGAGAUGUUGGGUUAAGUCCCGCAACGAGCACAACCCUUGUCAUUAGUUGCCAUCAUUAAGUUGGGCACUCUAAUGAGACUGCCGGUGACAAGCCGGAGGAAGGUGGGGAUGACGUCAAGUCCUCAUGGCCCUUAUGACCAGGGCUUCACACGUCAUACAAUGGUCGGUACAGAGGGUAGCCAAGCCGCGAGGCGGAGCCAAUCUCACAAAACCGAUCGUAGUCCGGAUUGCACUCUGCAA